RNAcentral lists this ribosomal RNA (562 nucleotides) under uncultured bacterium. Its description in RNAcentral is "bacterial SSU rRNA". It matches the Rfam family "Bacterial small subunit ribosomal RNA", at positions 343 to 905 of the family's 1533-position model. The record is from RNAcentral.
GGGAGGCAGCAGUAAGGAAUAUUGGACAAUGGGCGCAAGCCUGAUCCAGCCAUCCCGCGUGAAGGAUGACUGCCCUAUGGGUUGUAAACUUCUUUUAUUAGGGAAGAAACCCUUUCAUUUAUGAGAGGCUGACGGUACCUAAAGAAUAAGCACCGGCUAACUCCGUGCCAGCAGCCGCGGUAAUACGGAGGGUGCAAGCGUUAUCCGGAAUCACUGGGUUUAAAGGGUAUGCAGGCGGUUAUAUAAGUCAGACGUCAAAGGCUGUGGCUAAACCACGGUACGCGUUUGAAACUGUAUAACUUGAAUAUGUUUGAAGUGUGUAGAAUGCGUCAUGUAGCGGUGAAAUGCAUAGAUAUGACGUAGAAUACCAAAAGCGAAGGCAGCACACUAAGGCAUUAUUGACGCUGAGAUACGAAAGCGUGGGUAGCGAACAGGAUUAGAUACCCUGGUAGUCCACGCCCUAAACGAUGCUAACUGGUCAUUUGAGCUAUAGGUUCAAGUGACUGAGGGAAACCAUUAAGUUAGCCACCUGGGGAGUACGUUCGCAAGAAUGAAACUCAAA